AGGGUGAGCAUUUGCUGCAACACAGGGUGAAUUUUUACUUCUAUUGCCUUGAGGACAUUCAUUGGAAACAUCAUGUUGCACUUGAUGGAGACUCUCCUGAUGAAAAGGCAUCUUUAGGGUAAGAUAAUCUGGCAUAUAAGUGAAUCCCACCGGCUCACAACUUUGUAAGGUGCUGAAGAGGAUGAAGCUCCUUAUCCCUGGAAGACCAGUGUGUUUUUUUACGGAAUGUCUAAAGCUUUAUGACCCAAGAAUACCUUCCUCAAGGACCCAGGAGCUACUUCUUCGAAAUGCAAUCUUCAAGCGAGACAGAACCCCACGUGUAUCUCCAGUUUCUUUGGGAAGAUCUGAUAAAAUUGCAAAGCAAACUCUCACUAGUAUAUUUCAAAGAAUUUGACAAACUUAUUCUAGAUUUAUGGGAUAGAAAAGAGCUAAGAAAAGUCAAGACACUGAUGAAGAAGAAUCAUCAGCAAGGCUUAUGGUGAAAAAAUACAAUUGGCAUCACAAGACCUAUUUCAUUAUACCUCAUGGAUCCUGGAAUUUCCUUCUCCACUUCCUUCUUAAAUCCUGAAUGGAACUGUAAGAAGAAUAUAAGAAAGCAGAAAGAACACAGAGGAGGCGUUGACUAGGCAAAUUUGCCAAUAAUUAGGGAUUCGUACUCACUUAUCAUUGGAGGAGUGAUAUUAUACCUCAUUUUAGCCUCGCAGAAACCGUUAGAGCUGGCUUCACUGAAAGUCAAAUCCAGUGACAACUCAGCCAGAAUAAAUGAGUAAUCUGCUAAGUAAUGUUACUCAGAUUCUUCUGUGAAAGGAAUUCAAGACAGCCUUGACAUCCAUCUAUCAAGCAUGACUUGGAACUAAAGAAGAUGACAACCCAGAAAAGCCAGUGAAUAAAAUAUCCCCAAUAAAAGUUGGAUUUUACUAUCCAAAGAACCAGAAAAAGGACAAUGUGGGAAGACAGAAACUUUAGACAAUACCUCUCUACCUAAUCCAAAUACCACAGAAAAAGAUUGUGACCCUCACCCCCAACCACUUAAGAUAAGACUGAGUGGGUAGUCUACACUUCCACCUUUGCCAGAAUGAUUUCAGAGAGGCAAAACUAAAAAGCCAAGAAUUUCAUCACCACUAGGUGAUAACCUCCCCUUGUGGAGUUAAAGACCAUGUAGAAAAACUUGGAUUUCCAAAUAUAUCUGGCAAUAGUAAAGCACAACUUACAGCCCCAGCUUGGCUGGUGUCUGUAGAGGUCUAAUGGAGAAUCAGGAUAUUCACCACCAGUGAUAACCAAUUUUUUCCAUGAUGUCAGUAGAGGCCUCAUAGGGAAGAAUAACAAGACGCUCCUACUUUUCCCAACCAGAAAGGUGUUAAUGGAGACUUAGUAGGAGACAUGAACACCCAUUCAGUAAUGACUAAACCUCUUGUCUACCAGAGUGUGAAUGGAAGUUGAGUUGGGAAACUUAACAUGAAUUCUCAUCUGGCAGUGACAAGGUGGCACAUUCCUUCCAACCCCUUCUAUACUGUCAGAGGAAACAGGCUAAAAUUGAAGCUUAACAUUCAAAAUGUCCAGCUUUUAAUAAACAAACAAAAAUACUUCAUCAUACCAAGAACUAAGAAUAUCUCAAACUGAUUGAGAAAAUGACAGGUAAUAGAUGUCAAUUUCAAGAUAACAGAAAUGUUAAAAUUAGUGCCAAAAUUUUAAUGUAGUCAUCGUAAAAAUUCUUAAUUGAUAAUUUUCAAACACUUGCAACAAAUAAAUAGAAAGCUUCAGCAAAGAAAGGGAAAAUAUAAAGAAGAACCAAACGGAAAUUUUAAAACUGAAAAAUACAAGAACCAAGAUAAAAAUAUCAAUGGAUGACUAAAUGGAGGAACAGAAAGAAAGAAGAAUUACAACAACAGAAAAAAACCAAUCUGGACAACAAAGACAAAAUAAGGUAAAAACCAAAAAUGAACAAUCAGGGCACUGUGAGGCUAUAACAAAAGUCUAACAUUCAUGUCAUUAAAGUUUAGCAAGUAGAAGAGAAAGAGGAAAAAGUACUUGGAGAAAUAAAUGAUGACUUCCUAAGUUUGGUAAAAGGUAUGAAACUACAGAUUCAGGAAUCUUAGUAAACUCCAAACAGUAUCAACCCAAAGAAUUCCACACACAAAUAAAUCAUAGUCAAACUUAGGAGAACUAAAAACAAAAAAUUCUUGAAAGCAGCAAGAUAAAAAACACCUUACCUAGAUGCAAAAAAUUAUUUGAAUAAGAGUGGCUUUUUGUCAGAAAUCAUGAAGGCCAGAAGGAAGCAGCACGAGAUUUUUCAAGUACUUGAAUAAGGAAACUAUUAAUACAAUCCCAUAUCCAGAGAAAUUACUCUUCAAUAAUGAAAAGGAAAUCAUAACAUUUGAGACAAAGGAAAACGAAGAGAAUUUAUUGUUGG
Acinonyx jubatus (cheetah) is the source of this 2410-nucleotide long non-coding RNA. RefSeq lists it as uncharacterized. The record is from RefSeq and is a predicted model, not a curated record. Lineage: Eukaryota; Metazoa; Chordata; Mammalia; Carnivora; Felidae. The transcript is spliced from 7 exons.